This 242-nucleotide ribosomal RNA is filed under the name uncultured Staphylococcus sp. RNAcentral's name for it is "partial 16S ribosomal RNA". It matches the Rfam family "Bacterial small subunit ribosomal RNA", at positions 98 to 334 of the family's 1533-position model. Lineage: Bacteria; Bacillati; Bacillota; Bacilli; Caryophanales; Staphylococcaceae. The record is from RNAcentral.
GCGGACGGGUGAGUAACACGUGGAUAACCUACCUAUAAGACUGGGAUAACUUCGGGAAACCGGAGCUAAUACCGGAUAAUAUAUUGAACCGCAUGGUUCAAUAGUGAAAGACGGUUUUGCUGUCACUUAUAGAUGGAUCCGCGCCGCAUUAGCUAGUUGGUAAGGUAACGGCUUACCAAGGCGACGAUGCGUAGCCGACCUGAGAGGGUGAUCGGCCACACUGGAACUGAGACACGGUCCAG